CGAUCAUUUUUGAUCCCGAACCCUUCUCCCAACUCCUCAUCUCAUGCGGCUUCUCCAUCCAACUCCUCUCCGGCCUCCAGAUCCGGGGCGUCAACAAGGCUGUGUACUCCUUGAGAAAUUGAUCGUCAGGGUUUCCGCGGAAGCAAUUUGGAGUCAACUAGCGUGAAAUACGAUUUUUUUUUCUCAUACCCGCACGAAGCCACUGCCUUGGGUGAUCUCGGCAGCGGCCAGGGAGUUAGGUUUGGCAGCUCGAGGAGGGAGGGUAGAGACGGGAGAGGUGGCGGCGAGCGGGCGGCGGAGGAUGGUCGGUGAGCUCGGGAGGGACGUGCAGUGGCUCAGGGAGGGAAGGUGGUGGGAUUGAGAAGCAAGGCGAGCCUCGGGGUGGCACAGGCGAGCUUCAGAGGGCAGUGUGCAGCAGAGGCCUUUUUCCUCCUUCCAUUCUUUCCCUAUUUUCAUCCGAAUACACAACUUUCUCCCUCUUUUUUCCUCUCCCUCCCUCUCCCUUCCCUCCUUUCUCUCCUCCCCUCAUUUCUCUUCUUCCCCUUCUCUUCCUUUCUCCCUGAAUGCACACUGUGUAAGCAACACUAAGUUCAUCGCGGUCUUGAUAUUUUGUUUGUUAAAAUUAGAAAAUUGAAUAGACAAAUUAUCUCUCCGUUUUCAGCCUUUACAAUUGUUUCUUUGAUGAAUCAAUAUAAUUUGGCUUACUUCUUUUUCCAUCUUCUAUAUACUGAAAAUGGAAAAGGAUUCAAGUUUCUCACGAGGAAGUGAAAUGUCUCUACUGGAGCAAUUUGAAGGUAUAUUGGAAGGAGAUAAACUCAUGUGAGCCUGCUAAGUUCCAUUUUCCUUUAUGAAAAUAUAUGCAUUUUGUAGUUUCCUUUUUGUUUUUCCCAUACCAAAUUAUGUUCCCAAUUAUAUCAUGAUUCAUGAAGAUUCUUCACACGGGCACAUAUUAAAGUUCUCUAACUGAUGGAGGAGGUAGUUUGAUUACAUUAGAGCCAAUAAGGGCUUCCUAAGACGAGAGAAAAAUUCUGGAAUAGCUCUCUGAAUGUUUUACAGAUCCAAUUCUACAAGAUAUGCUUCAUUGCCCACUGAUUUAUGAUGAAAUAGGUUUCUUGGGCCCAUCUCAGUUUGCUUCACUAGAUCAGGAUUUAAGUGGUUCUUCUCUUGACCAGUGCACUCCUAUUCAGUUGGCUGAUGUUAGUCUAGAGACUAAUAUAGUAGAUUUGAAUACAGUUCAAUAUGACAAAAUUUUUUUCUGGAACAGAAAUAAUAAAUUGGCAAUCUCCACUGAUGUGCUAUCUCAUUUGUACAUUGCUGCUCGCAUGCAUAUAUUGCAUCUUCUCAGGAAAACUCUGAUCACCUUCUUGAAGAUGAAAUUCUAAAACACACGAAGGCCUUACUGGUUUUAAGCUGCAACUUCAGUAGUGCUUGGAAUGACAGGUGGAUACAGGACAGUCGAGAUCAGUACACUAAGGAGCGUCUGGAUUCAGUAAUUGAUCAGUACACUAAGCGUCUGGAUUCAGUAACUACUGUACUAUUUUGAGAAAACAGAUUGUUGGCUACUUCAGUAUUCAGUAUUCAGUAAACUGAUUGUUAGCUAAACAGAUUGUAGCUGUUCAAAACAGAUUUUUUGUGCUCUUUUGUUUUAUAUGUGAAUAUCACUAUAUACUUUGAAACAGAAUUAGUGUUAAUUUUGAUAUUUACUAGCUUCUUAUGUAA
Zingiber officinale is the source of this 1719-nucleotide RNA transcript. RefSeq lists it as uncharacterized. The transcript is spliced from 4 exons. NCBI's taxonomy places the organism in Eukaryota, Viridiplantae, Streptophyta, Magnoliopsida, Zingiberales, Zingiberaceae. The record is from RefSeq and is a predicted model, not a curated record.